RNAcentral lists this ribosomal RNA (750 nucleotides) under uncultured bacterium. RNAcentral's name for it is "bacterial SSU rRNA". It matches the Rfam family "Bacterial small subunit ribosomal RNA", at positions 43 to 804 of the family's 1533-position model. The record is from RNAcentral.
CAGGCCUAACACAUGCAAGUCGAACGGAAAGGCCCAAGCUUGCUUGGGUACUCGAGUGGCGAACGGGUGAGUAACACGUGGGUGAUCUGCCCUGCACUUCGGGAUAAGCCUGGGAAACUGGGUCUAAUACCGGAUAGGACGAUGGUUUGGAUGCCAUUGUGGAAAGUUUUUUCGGUGUGGGAUGAGCUCGCGGCCUAUCAGCUUGUUGGUGGGGUAAUGGCCUACCAAGGCGUCGACGGGUAGCCGGCCUGAGAGGGUGUACGGCCACAUUGGGACUGAGAUACGGCCCAGACUCCUACGGGAGGCAGCAGUGGGGAAUAUUGCACAAUGGGCGCAAGCCUGAUGCAGCGACGCCGCGUGGGGGAUGACGGCCUUCGGGUUGUAAACUCCUUUCGCUGGGGACGAAGCGUUUUGUGACGGUACCUGGAGAAGAAGCACCGGCUAACUACGUGCCAGCAGCCGCGGUAAUACGUAGGGUGCGAGCGUUGUCCGGAAUUACUGGGCGUAAAGAGCUCGUAGGUGGUUUGUCGCGUCGUUUGUGUAAGCCCGCAGCUUAACUGCGGGACUGCAGGCGAUACGGGCAUAACUUGAGUGCUGUAGGGGAGACUGGAAUUCCUGGUGUAGCGGUGGAAUGCGCAGAUAUCAGGAGGAACACCGAUGGCGAAGGCAGGUCUCUGGGCAGUAACUGACGCUGAGGAGCGAAAGCAUGGGGAGCGAACAGGAUUAGAUACCCUGGUAGUCCAUGCCGUA